This 374-nucleotide ribosomal RNA is filed under the name uncultured bacterium. Its description in RNAcentral is "bacterial SSU rRNA". It matches the Rfam family "Bacterial small subunit ribosomal RNA", at positions 524 to 898 of the family's 1533-position model. The record is from RNAcentral.
UACGGAAGGGGCUAGCGUUGUUCGGAAUUACUGGGCGUAAAGCGCGCGUAGGCGGCUUUUCAAGUGAGGCGUGAAAGUCCUGGGCUCAACCUGGGGACGGCGCUUCAGACUGUCUGGCUAGAGUCCGGAAGAGGGUGGUGGAAUUCCGAGUGUAGAGGUGAAAUUCGUAGAUAUUCGGAGGAACACCGGUGGCGAAGGCGGCCACCUGGUCCGGUACUGACGCUCAAGUGCGAAAGCGUGGGGAGCAAACAGGAUUAGAUACCCUGGUAGUCCACGCUGUAAACGAUGGGUGCUAGAUGUCGGGGGGCUUGCUCUUCGGUGUCGUAGCUAACGCGUUAAGCACCCCGCCUGGGGAGUACGGCCGCAAGGUUAAA